CAGCCAUCUGAGCAACAGUCCACAGCUCACACACAACACCACCCGACAAUACCAAGCAGACACACGGCUGCCGCCUUCUGCUCUCCGGACAGCAGAGGUCCGGAGAGUUGUUUCAUGCGUCCCCCCCAAGCAACCGACGAAGCUCGCCAUGCUUUUACUGUUGGCAUUGCUGCUGCUCUGUAAUGAAGUUGGCAACGCACACUGCUCAACUAUCCACGAAAACAGCGUCGAUCUGCACUCGCUGCUUGCCUUCAAGCAGAGCAUCACCAACGAUCCUCAAGGAGCCUUGAGUAACUGGGACAACAGGACCCACUUCUGCCGCUGGAAUGGUGUCAACUGCACCUCCACGACACCACCGUUCCGUGUCUCGUCGCUUAUUCUCGCUAGCCAAAACUUAGCAGGCCAAAUUAGCCCCUCUCUUGGAAACCUAACUUUCCUCACGUGGCUUGACCUUUCCGGGAACUACUUUGUUGGCCCAUUGCCUGUCCUUGGCCAUCUUCAAAGACUACAGACACUUUACCUCAACAACAACAGUUUAAAUGGGAUAAUUCCUGAUUCACUUACCAACUGUUCCAACUUUAUCAACUUAGAUAUCUCUGUAAACUCCCUCGUGGGUGUAAUUCCUACAAAACUGGUCUUCCUUUCAAGUCUGGCCUACUUAGAUCUCUCUGCAAACUCGCUAGCCGGUCAAAUUCCACCAAAAUUAGACCUUCUUUCACAUUUGUCCUACUUAAACCUGUCAGUAAACUCCCUAGUGGGUCAAAUUCCUACGGAAGUGGUCUUUCUUUCUGAUCUGACUGCCUUGGAUCUCUCUAAAACAUGCUAGUGGGUCAAAUUCCUCUGAAACUAGACUUCCUGCCAAAACUGAUUUACUUGGAUCUCUCUGUAAAUUUGCUAGUAGGCCAAAUUCCUCCGAGUUUAGGCUUUCUUCCUAAUCUAACAUAUAUCUUUCUUCGAUCAAAUCAACUUAAGGGGAGCAUUCCUGAGCUUGGGCAAUUUCCGCAAUUGCAAGAGCUGAUCCUGGGAAAAAAUAAGCUUUCAUGUGAACUCCCACAUGCCAUCUUGAAUGCUUCUGGUUCGCUCCAAAUUUUGGGCUUGGAAUUCAAUAUGCUAAGCAACACAUUGCCACCUAAUAUUGGCGACCGACUUCCUAAGCUCAUUCAUCUUACAUUGUCUGGUAACACGUUUGAAGGUAACAUCCCAGCUUCCCUAGGAAAUGCUCAAGGUUUAAAACUGAUAGAUUUAUCAGAUAACAGUUUCACAUGGAUAAUUCCUACUUCUUUUGGGAAGCUUUCAAAUCUGACUAUUCUAAACCUUGAGAAUAACCUGCUUGAAACAAGGGACAACAGAGACUGGGAGUUCUUAAAUGCACUAAGAAAUAACAGUUUCACCGGGAUAAUUCCUACUUCUUUUGGAAAGCUUUCAAAUCUAACUACCCUAAACCUUGAGAAUAACCUGCUUGAAACAAGGGAUAACAGAGACUGGGAGUUCUUAAAUGCACUGAGAAAUUGUCGGUCUCUAAAGGUACUAUCAGUCUCUUUGAAUCAGCUGCAGGGAUCUACUCCCCAGUCCAUUGGUAACCUAUCCCCCAGCCUUGAGCAACUCUUGCUGUUUGGAAACAACUUAUCAGGACAAGUACCCCAGAGCAUCAGAAAACUUAGCGCCUUAAUUAAACUGGUACUUGGUGAAAAUAUUUAAGUGGUACAAUUGAGGGAUGGGUUGGUGACCUAAAAGGCCUUGUAUCAUUAUAUCUCCAGUCAAACAGCUUCACCGGCCUAAUCCCAUCCUCUGUUGGCAAACUUACUCGAUUGACAUAUCUGCAUAUAGGUGAAAAUGAGUUCGAGGGCCAUAUACCAGCCAGCUUGGGAAACCUUCCACUCUUACGGCUGCACCUUGGCGAUAACAAUUUCCAAGUCUAUAUACCAUCAAAAUUUGGAAACCUCCAACAACUAAUAUCAUUGAAUCUCAGCCACAACUACCUCCAAGGUGACAUACCUCACAUUAGUACCCUUAAGCAACUUACUACUUUGGAUCUUUCAUCAAAUAAGCUAACAGGGCAAAUUCCUGAUUCUUUGGGCCAAUGUAACGGCUUAGUGAGUCUGCAAAUAGAUCAAAACUUUAUGUCGGGAAACAUUCCAACAACAUUUGGCAACCUGUUGUCACCGAGCAUGCUUAAUAUUUCACACAACAACUUGUCAGGCACUAUCCCGUUAGCUCUGAGCAAACUAGAGUACCUCAUCAAUCUUGACCUUUCGUGUAAUAAUCUAGAAGGAGAAUUACCAAGGAAUGGAGUAUUUGGAAAUGCCACAGCUGUUUCAAUUGAGGGUAAUUGGGGGCUCUUUGGAGGUGCGAUAGAUCUUCACAUGCCCAUGUGCCCUACUGUUUCUCGGAGGUCAGAGACACAAUACUAUUUGGUCCGAGCGUUGAUUCCAUUAUUUGGCUUCACAUCACUUGUAAUGUUGGCUUACAUUGUAUUCUUUGGGAAGAAGACGUCACGAACAACAUAUUCGGUUUUGCUUUCUUCUGGUAAGAAAUUCCCUAGAGUUGCCUACAAUGAUGUAGCUCGAGCUACAGGGAAGUUCUCAGAGUUAAACCUUAUUGGGAGAGGAAGCUAUGGUUCAGUGUACAGAGGAAAGUUAACUCAAGCUAAAAUACAAGUGGCUAUUAAGGUUUUUGACCUUGAUAUGAAAUGUGCGGACAAAAGUUUUGUAAUAGAAUAUGAGGUUUUGAGUAGAAUUCGGCACCGGAACCUUGUACCUAUCCUAACUGCAUGUUCAACAGUACACAAUAAAGGUGACACUUUCAAGGCUCUAAUUUAUGAAUUCAUGCCUAACGGGAAUUUGGACACAUGGUUGCAUAACAAAUUUUUGAGUAGUUCUUCAAAAUAUUUGAGCUUAUCUCAAAGAGCAAUCAUAGCUACUGGUAUAGCCAAUGCAUUGGCUUAUUUACACAAUGAUUGUGAAAGGCAGAUUGUACAUUGUGAUUUGAAGCCAAAAAAUAUCCUUCUUGACGAUGAUAUGAAUGCUUACUUUGGAGACUUCGGCAUUGCAAGCCUCAUCGGACAUUCAAGCCUAGCUACCUCAACUGGGCUGAAGGGAACGAUAGGCCACAUAGCUCCAGAAUAUGCUCAAAGCGGCAAGGCAUCAAUCUGUGGGGAUGUUUACAGUUUCGGGAUAGUACUCUUAGAGAUGCUCAUUGGCAAAAGACCGACAGACCCUAUGUUUGAGAAUGAACUCAACAUGGCCAACUUUGUGCAGAGGAACUAUCCAGAUAAGAUACUACUCCCUCUAUAAACUAAUAUAAGAGUGUUUAGAUUACUAAAAUAGUGAUCUAAACGCUCUUAUAUUAGUUUACGGAGGGAGUACAUAUUAUUGAUGCACGUCUCCAUGGGGAAUGCAAGGGCUAUAUCCAAGCCAACAUUGGAGUAAAUUGCAAAAAACCACCACAAUUGUGGACGCGAUUUCACAAAACCGCCACCAUUCGUUUUUUUUCAAAAAACCACCACGUUUGUGCUGAUAGUUUUCAAAUAACGCUGAUCGAGCGUUUUGCCGCGUCUGAUAGCAAACCUGACCGGUUGGGCCCGCUGUCAGGUGCCACGUGGACAUGGGGCGACGGCGGCCGUCAGGCGCCGUUAGACGGCGUCGCACAAAACCUAACGACCCGAUCCAGAGCAUCCUGUUCCCCCUGUCCUCCCCCGAUUCCCCCCCUCCCCCCAUGGCGACCGGCGGCGGCGGCGGUGACGACAGGGACGACCCCCACCUCUCCAUCCUCGAUUCCGCGGGCCUCUCCGCCAUUCGUAGCUCGCCGACGGUGCUCCCUGCUCCUGCUGGCCCUGUUCGAUCCGCCAUUGUCGGCGUCGAUGAGCGCGGCGAGGAGGUCAGCAGAUUCAAAGCGAGCUCCGACGACCUUGAGUCCAGGGCGGCGGCCAAUCUGGCCCAGGUGUGGAAGGCCAAUCCAGGGCAUAGCCAUCAGUACACAUCCGGCCUUGGUGGCGUGGAUUUGGAUGAAGAUGAACCUUGGGAUCUCAGGUUCCAUUUUCAAGGUUGUGACAACCUGGAAAGGACCAUAUGUGAAUCUGAUAUCACAUACAUCAAUAUGUUAGCUAUUAUUGGGAUUGAGGGGUAUGAUCAGAAGGACUCAAUGUAUUAUGUGAAGCAACAUGGUGUGGGAAUGGCAGGCAUGAAGCAAAUCAAAUCUGAGGAAGAUGUUGAAGAAAUGCUAAUAUUAUAUGAGGACAAGAGGUGUGUCAAUGUCACAGUGAUGAAAGGAAGAGAGUCUGACAUGGAAAUGAACAUUGGAGAUGGAUGUGAGCAGCAGAUUCCAAUUUCUGAGAUUGGUUCUCCUAAGGUAUAUAGUGUAGAUGAUGCAGGUGUGAUAUAUCAAACUCAGACCUGUGAACCACAGCCAGAAGAUUCUUAUGGUGAAUAUCUUUUCACACAGGAGAGUUGCAAUGUUAGAAGUGGGAAGGUCACAGCAGGUAUCAAAGUAUUAGAUGACUUUCUUAAUGAGUUUGCUGACAUACCAGUAGUGCAUGAAGAAGAUUACAUGAAAGAGGACAAGGAGGAAGAGGUGCAAGAGGAAGAGGAGGAAGGAAAUGAACAACAAGAAGAUGAGCUAGAGGAAGAGGAAGAUGAAGAUGAUGCAAACUUAUAUCAGAAAAUAAAAGACUUGAAGAGGAAGAGGGUUUUUGAAGGUGAUUGUGAGCCAGAAGACUUAUUCUGUGAGAAUGAGGAGGAGGAGGAUGGAGAGGGGUUUGUUCAGGCACCACCUAUGCAGAAAUUGCCUGUUAGAAGAGGUCCAACAGAUAGAGCACAUUGCAGUUCACAAGCUGAACUUGAGGGAGACUACAUUCCUGUAUCUGAUGAAGAUAUGGAUGAACUUUAUGUUGAUUCAGGUGCUGAAGUAGUGGUGCAUUGUCCCACAUCUGGAAGAAAGUCCAGGGCAAAAAAGAGGAAGUCCAGGAUAUGGUAUGAUGAGAAUAGACUUGUGCCAGAACAACAAAUAUGUUGGCAUAUGUGUUUUGUUGAUGUUUACCAAUUCAGAAGAGCACUAGUUAACUUGCAUGUGACACAAAGGAGGAACUUCCAUUACCAUAGGAACAACAAAGACAGGAUCAUAGUUGAUUGUCUUGAGGAAGGCUGCCCCUUUCACAUGGUUGCAUCUGUGGUUGCAAAUGAGAAAACAUUCAGCAUUAGGAAGCUGCAACUAGAGCAUACUUGUGCUCCAAGUGAUGGGAAUUGCAAGGUUCCUGCUAGGUAUGUGGCCAAAGCUGUUGAAGACUGCUUCAUGACUGACCCCAGAGCAGGUAUUGAGACUGUCAUAGACAAGACAAAGGAGAAGUAUGGUGUGGAGGUUGGAAAGAUGAAGGCUUAUAGGGCAAGGCAGCAAGCUUUGAAUGUUGUGCAGGGUGACCAGGAAGCACAAUAUACUAGAAUUACAGACUAUCUGCAAGCUGUUUUGGACACAAAUCCUGGGAGCGGAUGCAUUGUGACAACUAGGGUGGUGAAAGAGCAUCCAAGCAAGAAUCCAAGAUUUCAUAGACUUUUCAUUUGUCUAGCAGCUCAAAGGGAGGGUUUUCUCAAUGGAUGUAGACCUUUCAUUGGUCUAGAUGGUUGUUUUGUGAAGUUAAACACAGGUCAACAGAUCUUGGCAGCUACUGGCAGAGAUGGAAACAAUAAUAUAUUUCCUUUGGCCUUUGGAGUAGUUGAGAAGGAGGACACCCCUACUUGGUGCUGGUUUUUAACUCAGCUCAAGAUUGUUCUUGGUGGUGAAUCAGGACAAUUUGGCAAUUACACAAUAAUUUCAGACAGGCAGAAGGGUCUGCUUAAUGCCAUUGACCAAAUAUUUCCUAACUGCCCUCAAAGAUAUUGUUUAAGGCAUAUUUAUGCAAAUUUCCAAAGUGCUGGAUUUAGAGGAGAUGAGCUUAAACAAUAUAUGGAUGCAGCAGCUUAUUCUUACACUAGGAAUGGGUUUGAAGAAGCAAUGGAAGAAAUUAGAAAGGAAAGUGAGGAUGCUUGGGUCUGGCUUAAGAAAAUUCCUGUAGAAACAUGGGCUAGAUAUGCUAUGGACACCAACUGUAAAACUGAUCUAGUAGUGAACAACAUUAGUGAGGUGUUCAACAGGAUGAUUUUGGAUAUCAGGGGCAAACCCAUUAAAACAAUGGUUGAAGGGGCUAGGUCCAAAUUGAUGGUGAAGUUCAAUGAAAAAAGAAGUGGGGGGCAGAGUGCUAGAUGGACAAUAACCCCAACAUAUACAGAAAUGCUAGAGGAGUCCAAAGAAUGGGCUAGGAAUUGCAAGGCUUUGAUGGCUGGGCCAGAUCUAUAUCAAGUAAAUAGUGGUGAGAAAUCAUAUGCAGUUGACUUGAAGAAGUGGACAUGUGGCUGCAGAAAAUGGGACAUGAGAGGUGUACCAUGUAACCAUGCUGUCUCUGCCAUCUACAAAUCAAACCAGCAGCCUGAAGAUUUUGUACACCAGUUCUUCAAGAAGCCUAUGUACUUAGAAACUUACAAGCCAAUGAUUUACCCUGUUCCUGGACCUGACCUAUGGAGAAAACAGAUUCAAGAGACAUAGACCCCCCUGUGUUCCAUAGGAAGAAGGGAAGAAACCAGACUCAGAGAAGGAAGGGCCAGUUUGAAGUACCAAAACCCAAAGACACUUCAAGAAUUGGAACUAUAACUUGCAGCAACUGUGGAAAGCAAGGGCAUAGGUACACAAAUUGCGGUGAUCCUUUGAAGCCAGCACUUGCAGCUAGGAAGAACAAGCAUAAGGAGGGAAGAUCUGCCCCUACAGAUGCAAGAGCUCCAACAACAACAUCUGGUGGAAGAGUUGCAGCUGAACAGCCUGCUCCAACAGCUGCUGCAAGUUCUAGGGCUGCAUCAUCUGCUCCCAGGCCUACUUCUGCUGCUGCUGCAAGAGCCUCUUCAUCAGCAACAACAGCCAAUGCAGCAACUGCUCCCAGGCCUACUUCUGCUGCUGCUGGAAGAGCCUCUUCAUCAGCAACAACAGCCACUGCAUCAACUGCUCCCAGGCCUACUUCUACUGCUGCUGCAAGAGCUUCUUCAUCAAGAGCUAGAUCUUCAUUUGCUCCUCCAAGGACUGCUACUUCUACUACAGCUCAAUCUGCUUAUGGAAGGGUGAGGAAGAGGCCUAACAGACUUAGGGAUUACUUCUAUGCUAGUGGAAAUUAGAGCAUAUCUAGCUGCUGUGCUUGUUGUGCUGCUGGCAUGUCUUUUGGAGAAAAACUAUGAGCUUCUUGUGCUGCUGCCAAACUUGUCUUUUGGAGAAAACUAUGUGCUUGUUGUGCUGCUGGCAAGUUAGAACUUGCUGAAUGCUGCUGCCAAACUAUGUGUCAUGUUGCCAAACUUGUUAUGUUGUGGUGCUGUCAAGUUAGAACUUGGUGUAAUGUUGGCAACCUAUGUGAACC
This 7423-nucleotide ribosomal RNA is filed under the name Triticum aestivum (bread wheat). Its description in RNAcentral is "partial small subunit ribosomal RNA". The stretch from base 3279 to 3365 matches the Rfam family "MIR1120/MIR1122 microRNA precursor family". Lineage: Eukaryota; Viridiplantae; Streptophyta; Magnoliopsida; Poales; Poaceae. The record is from RNAcentral.